This 1541-nucleotide ribosomal RNA is filed under the name Escherichia coli. RNAcentral describes it as "bacterial SSU rRNA". It matches the Rfam family "Bacterial small subunit ribosomal RNA". The record is from RNAcentral. Lineage: Bacteria; Pseudomonadati; Pseudomonadota; Gammaproteobacteria; Enterobacterales; Enterobacteriaceae.
AAAUUGAAGAGUUUGAUCAUGGCUCAGAUUGAACGCUGGCGGCAGGCCUAACACAUGCAAGUCGAACGGUAACAGGAAACAGCUUGCUGUUUCGCUGACGAGUGGCGGACGGGUGAGUAAUGUCUGGGAAACUGCCUGAUGGAGGGGGAUAACUACUGGAAACGGUAGCUAAUACCGCAUAACGUCGCAAGACCAAAGAGGGGGACCUUCGGGCCUCUUGCCAUCGGAUGUGCCCAGAUGGGAUUAGCUAGUAGGUGGGGUAACGGCUCACCUAGGCGACGAUCCCUAGCUGGUCUGAGAGGAUGACCAGCCACACUGGAACUGAGACACGGUCCAGACUCCUACGGGAGGCAGCAGUGGGGAAUAUUGCACAAUGGGCGCAAGCCUGAUGCAGCCAUGCCGCGUGUAUGAAGAAGGCCUUCGGGUUGUAAAGUACUUUCAGCGGGGAGGAAGGGAGUAAAGUUAAUACCUUUGCUCAUUGACGUUACCCGCAGAAGAAGCACCGGCUAACUCCGUGCCAGCAGCCGCGGUAAUACGGAGGGUGCAAGCGUUAAUCGGAAUUACUGGGCGUAAAGCGCACGCAGGCGGUUUGUUAAGUCAGAUGUGAAAUCCCCGGGCUCAACCUGGGAACUGCAUCUGAUACUGGCAAGCUUGAGUCUCGUAGAGGGGGGGUAGAAUUCCGGUGUAGCGGUGAAAUGCGUAGAGAUCUGGAGGAAUACCGGUGGCGAAGGCGGCCCCCUGGACGAAGACUGACGCUCAGGUGCGAAAGCGUGGGGAGCAAACAGGAUUAGAUACCCUGGUAGUCCACGCCGUAAACGAUGUCGACUUGGAGGUUGUGCCCUUGAGGCGUGGCUUCCGGAGCUAACGCGUUAAGUCGACCGCCUGGGGAGUACGGCCGCAAGGUUAAAACUCAAAUGAAUUGACGGGGGCCCGCACAAGCGGUGGAGCAUGUGGUUUAAUUCGAUGCAACGCGAAGAACCUUACCUGGUCUUGACAUCCACGGAAGUUUUCAGAGAUGAGAAUGUGCCUUCGGGAACCGUGAGACAGGUGCUGCAUGGCUGUCGUCAGCUCGUGUUGUGAAAUGUUGGGUUAAGUCCCGCAACGAGCGCAACCCUUAUCCUUUGUUGCCAGCGGUCCGGCCGGGAACUCAAAGGAGACUGCCAGUGAUAAACUGGAGGAAGGUGGGGAUGACGUCAAGUCAUCAUGGCCCUUACGACCAGGGCUACACACGUGCUACAAUGGCGCAUACAAAGAGAAGCGACCUCGCGAGAGCAAGCGGACCUCAUAAAGUGCGUCGUAGUCCGGAUUGAGUCUGCAACUCGACUCCAUGAAGUCGGAAUCGCUAGUAAUCGUGGAUCAGAAUGCCACGGUGAAUACGUUCCCGGGCCUUGUACACACCGCCCGUCACACCAUGGGAGUGGGUUGCAAAAGAAGUAGGUAGCUUAACCUUCGGGAGGGCGCUUACCACUUUGUGAUUCAUGACUGGGGUGAAGUCGUAACAAGGUAACCGUAGGGGAACCUGCGGUUGGAUCACCUCCUUA